Molecule: non-coding RNA, 74 nt
Organism: Solanum lycopersicum (tomato)
Lineage: Eukaryota; Viridiplantae; Streptophyta; Magnoliopsida; Solanales; Solanaceae
Source: Rfam
ACGGACGUAGCCAAGAGGAUCAAGGCAGUGGAUUUUGAAUCCACCAUGCGCUGGUUCAAUUACCGUCGUUCGCC